AAUACAGUACAGAUCUCUGUACUAUAAACGACAACAAGGACCAGUCACAAUUUCAGUUCUUGUUACAUUGAUAAGACUCCUUCAGAAAGCAAUGAAGAGAAAAGCUGAAGUCAGUGAUUAGGAGUGUCUGUGUAAGUAAAAGCAACAGGCAAUUACUGAGUGUGGUGUGAGAGGCACGGAAAGAUUGGGAAUUCAGCAAGAAGAGGAAUUGAAGUCAAACCUCACCUACUUCCCAGAGUCUUCUGGAUUUUCUGAAUGGUUAGAAGCUUCAGUAUCUGAGGAAAGGACUCAGGCAACAAAUAAACAGCUAAGAUUUUACUAGAGUAUGAAAGGGAGAGCACUGGAGUGCAGUGCGGGGAUGGAGAUGCAGCUGUGGUGGCUGGAAGUACAGGAGGGCAGCUGGAGGCACCUGGCCUCUGAAGCCUGUCUUCUUCAUCUGGGUGAGAUCUGCUGGAAUCAGGAAGGACUUCCUGCUGCAAGGAUAAAGACCUAAGAAGCAUCAUGACCUGACAAACAGUUUCACAGGCCACUCUUGGUAGGUGAAGUGUGGUGGCGUAAUCAUGACUCACUGCAGCCUCGAACUCCAGGACUCUAGCUAAACUCUUUCCUCAGCCUUCCCAGCAGCUGGGACUACAGGUAUAUGCCACCAAACCUAGCUAACAUUUUUAAAAAUUUUUUCUUUUGUAGAAACGGGGUCUUGCUAUGUUGACCAGGCUGGCUUUAAAUUCCUUGCCUCAAGUGAUCCUCCCAUCAUUGCCUCCCAAAGUCUUGGGAUUACAGGCAUGAGCCACUGCGCCCAGCUACAAUAUAUUUUGGAUGCUGACUUUAUAUCCUGUGACUUUGCUAUGGUCGCUUAUUAUUUCUAGACAUUUUUGUUCUUGACAGAGUCUCACUGUGUUGCUUAGGCUGGAGUGCAGUGGCACAAUCUUCAUUCACUGCAACCUCUGCCUCCUGGGUUCAGGCUAUUCUCCUGCCACAGCCUUCAGAGUAGCUGGGACUACAGGCACGCAACACCAUGCCCGGCUAAUUUUUGUAUUUUUAGUAGAGACAGGGGAAUCACCAUGUUGGUCAGGCUGGUCUCAAACUCCUGACCUCAAGUGAUCUGCCUGCCUCGGCCUCCCAAAGUGUUGGAAUUACAGGCGUGAGCCACCAUGCCUGGCCACGGUUUUUUUGAUCCUAUAGGAUUUUCUACCAAGACUGUCAUGUCAUCUAUAAUCAAGUACUCUUUUAUUUCUUUUUUUCCAAUUUGUUUCUAUUUUAUUUCUUUUUUCUCAAAGCUUAUUGUACUGACUAAGAUCCCCAGAAUAAUGUUGAAUAAAAGUAUUGGAAACAG
This 1333-nucleotide long non-coding RNA is filed under the name Pan troglodytes (chimpanzee). Its description in RNAcentral is "lincRNA". Lineage: Eukaryota; Metazoa; Chordata; Mammalia; Primates; Hominidae. The record is from RNAcentral.